UACGAAGGGGGCUAGCGUUGUUCGGAAUCACUGGGCGUAAAGCGCAUGCAGGCGGAUUGUUAAGUCGGGGGUGAAAUCCCGAGGCUCAACCUCGGAACUGCCUUCGAUACUGGCAAUCUUGAGUCCGGGAGAGGUGAGUGGAACUGCGAGUGUAGAGGUGAAAUUCGUAGAUAUUCGCAAGAACACCAGUGGCGAAGGCGGCAUCCUGGACCGACAUUGACGCUGAGGAGCGAAAGCUAGGGGAGCAAACGGG
Molecule: ribosomal RNA, 253 nt
Filed under: uncultured bacterium
Lineage: Bacteria
Description: partial 16S ribosomal RNA
Rfam family: Bacterial small subunit ribosomal RNA
Source: RNAcentral